RNAcentral lists this ribosomal RNA (727 nucleotides) under uncultured bacterium. RNAcentral describes it as "bacterial SSU rRNA". It matches the Rfam family "Bacterial small subunit ribosomal RNA", at positions 27 to 775 of the family's 1533-position model. The record is from RNAcentral.
GAACGAACGCUGGCGGCGUGGAUAAGACAUGCAAGUCGAACGAGAGAAUUGCUAGCUUGCUAAUAAUUCUCUAGUGGCGCACGGGUGAGUAACACGUGAGUAACCUGCCCCCGAGAGCGGGAUAGCCCUGGGAAACUGGGAUUAAUACCGCAUAGUAUCGAAAGAUUAAAGCAGCAAUGCGCUUGGGGAUGGGCUCGCGGCCUAUUAGUUAGUUGGUGAGGUAACGGUUCACCAAGGCGAUGACGGGUAGCCGGUCUGAGAGGAUGUCCGGCCACACUGGAACUGAGACACGGUCCAGACACCUACGGGUGGCAGCAGUCGAGAAUCAUUCACAAUGGGGGAAACCCUGAUGGUGCGACGCCGCGUGGGGGAAUGAAGGUCUUCGGAUUGUAAACCCCUGUCAUGUGGGAGCAAAUUAAAAAGAUAGUACCACAAGAGGAAGAGACGGCUAACUCUGUGCCAGCAGCCGCGGUAAUACAGAGGUCUCAAGCGUUGUUCGGAAUCACUGGGCGUAAAGCGUGCGUAGGCUGUUUCGUAAGUCGUGUGUGAAAGGCGCGGGCUCAACCCGCGGACGGCACAUGAUACUGCGAGACUAGAGUAAUGGAGGGGGAACCGGAAUUCUCGUUGUAGCAGUGAAAUGCGUAGAUAUCGAGAGGAACACUCGUGGCGAAGGCGGGUUCCUGGACAUUAACUGACGCUGAGGCACGAAGGCCAGGGGAGCGAAAGA